RNAcentral lists this unclassified non-coding RNA (348 nucleotides) under soil metagenome. Its description in RNAcentral is "partial contains 5.8S ribosomal RNA, internal transcribed spacer 2, and large subunit ribosomal RNA". The stretch from base 1 to 120 matches the Rfam family "5.8S ribosomal RNA", at positions 35 to 154 of the family's 154-position model. The record is from RNAcentral.
GAUGAAGAACGUAGCGAAAUGCGAUAAGUAAUGUGAAUUGCAGAAUUCAGUGAAUCAUCGAGUCUUUGAACGCACAUUGCGCCCCCUGGUAUUCCGGGGGGCAUGCCUGUCCGAGCGUCAUUGCCGCCCUCAAGCACGGCUUGUGUGUUGGGCCCCCGCCCCCCGGCUUCGGGGGGCGGGCCCGAAAGGCAGCGGCGGCACCGCGUCCGGUCCUCGAGCGUAUGGGGCUUCGUCACCCGCUCUGUAGGCCCGGCCGGCGCCCGCCGGCGACCCCAAUCAAUCUUUCCAGGUUGACCUCGGAUCAGGUAGGGUUACCCGCUGAACUUAAGCAUAUCAAUAAGCGGAGGA